GACGAGCGCUGGUGGCGUGCCUAAUACAUGCAAGUCGAGCGGACCAAUAGAAGCUUGCUUCUGUUGGUUAGCGGCGGACGGGUGAGUAACACGUGGGCAACCUGCCUGUAAGACUGGGAUAACUUCGGGAAACCGGAGCUAAUACCGGAUAAUUCAUCCCCUCGCAUGAGGGGAUGCUGAAAGUCGGUUUACGCUGACACUUACAGAUGGGCCCGCGGCGCAUUAGCUAGUUGGUGAGGUAAUGGCUCACCAAGGCGACGAUGCGUAGCCGACCUGAGAGGGUGAUCGGCCACACUGGGACUGAGACACGGCCCAGACUCCUACGGGAGGCAGCAGUAGGGAAUCUUCCACAAUGGACGAAGGUCUGAUGGAGCAACGCCGCGUGAGCGAUGAAGGCCUUCGGGUCGUAAAGCUCUGUUGUUAGGGAAGAACAAGUAUCGGAGUAACUGCCGGUACCUUGACGGUACCUAACCAGAAAGCCACGGCUAACUACGUGCCAGCCGCCGCUGUAA
RNAcentral lists this ribosomal RNA (512 nucleotides) under uncultured bacterium. RNAcentral's name for it is "partial 16S ribosomal RNA". It matches the Rfam family "Bacterial small subunit ribosomal RNA", at positions 28 to 523 of the family's 1533-position model. The record is from RNAcentral.